This 464-nucleotide ribosomal RNA is filed under the name Vreelandella stevensii. RNAcentral describes it as "partial 16S ribosomal RNA". It matches the Rfam family "Bacterial small subunit ribosomal RNA", at positions 338 to 795 of the family's 1533-position model. The record is from RNAcentral. Lineage: Bacteria; Pseudomonadati; Pseudomonadota; Gammaproteobacteria; Oceanospirillales; Halomonadaceae.
CCUACGGGGGGCUGCAGUGGGGAAUAUUGGACAAUGGGGGGAACCCUGAUCCAGCCAUGCCGCGUGUGUGAAGAAGGCCCUCGGGUUGUAAAGCACUUUCAGUGAGGAAGAACGCCUGGUGGUUAAUACCCAUCAGGAAAGACAUCACUCACAGAAGAAGCACCGGCUAACUCCGUGCCAGCAGCCGCGGUAAUACGGAGGGUGCGAGCGUUAAUCGGAAUUACUGGGCGUAAAGCGCGCGUAGGUGGCUUGAUAAGCCGGUUGUGAAGCCCCGGGCUCAACCUGGGAACGGCAUCCGGAACUGUCAAGCUAGAGUGCAGGAGAGGAAGGUAGAAUUCCCGGUGUAGCGGUGAAAUGCGUAGAGAUCGGGAGGAAUACCAGUGGCGAAGGCGGCCUUCUGGACUGACACUGACACUGAGGUGCGAAAGCGUGGGUAGCAAACAGGAUUAGAUACCCUAGUAGUC